UUGAACGCUGGCGGCAGGCCUAACACAUGCAAGUCGAGCGCGAAAGUUCUUCGGAAUGAGUAAAGCGGCGGACGGGUGAGUGACGCGUGGGAAUCUGCCUAGUAGUGGGGGACAACAGCCGGAAACGGCUGCUAAUACCGCAUACGCCCUACGGGGGAAAGGGGGGGAUCUUCGGACCUCUCGCUAUUAGAUGAGCCCGCGUCGGAUUAGCUAGUUGGUAGGGUAAAGGCCUACCAAGGCUACGAUCCGUAACUGGUCUGAGAGGAUGAUCAGUCACACUGGAACUGAGACACGGUCCAGACUCCUACGGGAGGCAGCAGUGGGGAAUAUUGGACAAGGGGGGCAACCCUGAUCCAGCCAUGCCGCGUGUGUGAAGAAGGCCUUAGGGUUGUAAAGCACUUUCAGUGGGGAGAAAGGUUUGUCACCUAAUACGUGAUGAAAUUGAUGUUACCUACAGAAGAAGCACCGGCUAACUCCGUGCCAGCCGCCGCCGUAA
RNAcentral lists this ribosomal RNA (496 nucleotides) under uncultured bacterium. Its description in RNAcentral is "partial 16S ribosomal RNA". It matches the Rfam family "Bacterial small subunit ribosomal RNA", at positions 30 to 523 of the family's 1533-position model. The record is from RNAcentral.